Molecule: long non-coding RNA, 1055 nt
Filed under: Ananas comosus (pineapple)
Lineage: Eukaryota; Viridiplantae; Streptophyta; Magnoliopsida; Poales; Bromeliaceae
Description: long non-coding RNA (ACOM_LNC041327)
Source: RNAcentral
UCAAACAUUUUUAUAUACUUCUUGUUUUUUGAUGAAUCAAAUUUAAAUAUAUAUUUUAAAUUAAAAGCAUCAAAAUUUAAUUCACAUUUACUUUAAAAUUUAAAAUUUAAUUUUGAUCCAAUAUAAUAAAAAAUUUAAUUAUUAAUUCAAAUUUGAUAUCGAAAAACAAGAAGUAUAUAGAAUUUAUAGAUGGAUAGGAAUACUAUUUUUUAAUAGAUUGAUCCUAACUAUUCUUAUUUGAGAUAUUUUUUUAACAAAUUAAUCAUAAUCAUUUGUAGGGAAUAGAUUUUUAUAUAUAAUAGAGAUUUAAUAAAUUGAUCAUAACCGUUCAUUUUUAUUUGAGAUAUUUUUUAAUAGAUUGGCCAUAACCGUUCGUUUUUAUUUGAAAUAUUUUUAACAAAUUAAUCAUAACCAUUCGUAGGAAAUAUUAAUUUAUUCAUUUUUGGAUUCCGUCUGUCAUUGUCGAAAUUUCUAUACGCUUUUAUAUAUAGUAUAGAUAUAGAGUUGUGCUGGUAUGCUUAUGGAAGCACGGAGGCUUUCGUGCUUCCAAGUCGUUUUUGAUGUUCGGGCUUUCGAAUCGACGAUCGGCUCCGUUACAGUUGAUCUAGAGUAUUUGAAGUACCAAGAAAAUAAAUUUUGCGAUUUUUCGAUAUCAUUUGCCUAGUAAUCGAAGGGGCUCAAAAUCAAUAAUUUUAACGGCCGUGGUGAGCCGAUUGCAAGUUUAACGGUGUAGAAAUAUCCAAAUCACAUGANGACCAUAACCGUUCGUUUUUAUUUGAGAUAUUUUUAACAAAUUAAUCAUAACCAUUCGUAAGGAAUAUUAAUUUAUUCCUUUUUGGAUUCCGUCUGUCAUUGUCGAAAUUUCUAUACGCUUUUAUAUAUAGUAUAGAUAUAGAUAUAGAGUUGUGCUGGUAUGCUUAUGGAAGCACGAAGGCCUCCGUGCUUCCAAGUUGUUUUCGAUGUUCGGACUUUCGAAUCGACGAUCGGCUCCGUUAGAGUUGAUCUAGAGUAUUUGAAGUACUAAGAAAAUAAAUUUUGCAAUUUUUCGAUAUCAU